GUGGGCGAUUAUAGCAAUAAUGUUCCACCUCUUACCAUUCCGAACAGAGAAGUUAAACUUAUUAGCGCCGAUGGUACUAGUUUUUCUGGAAGAGUAGGUAUCGCCC
Molecule: ribosomal RNA, 106 nt
Filed under: Candidatus Karelsulcia muelleri
Lineage: Bacteria; Pseudomonadati; Bacteroidota; Flavobacteriia; Flavobacteriales
Source: RNAcentral